This 338-nucleotide long non-coding RNA is filed under the name Linum usitatissimum (flax). RNAcentral describes it as "long non-coding RNA (LUSI_LNC007830)". Lineage: Eukaryota; Viridiplantae; Streptophyta; Magnoliopsida; Malpighiales; Linaceae. The record is from RNAcentral.
UUGGGCCUGGUUGAGCCGCCCGAGAAGACCGCCCCCCACCGUGUCGUCCGUCAUGGCAGCUGACACCCACUCGUCUUUCCACAUCGUUGCCACCACCGCUAACGAAGCUGGCAGUAAAGAGAGGAGGAGGUAGAUUGAGAAAGAAAAGAGAGUAAGAGGCGGAAGAGGGGCAGAAUGAAAAAAGGAGCAGAGAAGGGUUGGGUGAGGAUUGAGGAGGAAGAAUGAGAGAAAUAACAAAGGAGGUUAGGGGAAAGGGCGGAGGAUUAUAUAUAUAAUUUAUAUCUGAGGAGGAGAUGGGGAAAAGGGUGGAAGGAGAGGGGGGGUUUCUGGCUUUAAUG